CUUGUCUUGGCUUGUCAUGUAGCACGUAGAACGAGGCACCAGAAGAAAAACCGUCACCGGAAAAAAAACACAUGAAUCUUUCAGGCAUGCGGCAGCUGCAAGACUACAGGGACCAUUGUGGCUUCAAACCCCCCCCCAGCUACGGACGGCGUUCACCUUCCUCGCAGCGUUCCGGAGCACCUCAGGGUGACAUCGUUCAUCAAACGUCCCAGCGACGCCUGAACGCCUGUCGCACUCAUCCUCAUUGACAUCGGAGGCCAUGACGUCACGCUUUGGAGUCCAAACCCCGACCGCAUCGUGAACUUGACCCCCUCGCGCAUCCAGGAAUACGAGCACGAAUCCGGAAGUCACACUCCGCCGAUAUCCUAGUGCACGGAGUGCAGAGGUCAAAGUUGACAGGUUAACUGAGGGGACUAACAGCAACUGAA
Non-coding RNA from Doryrhamphus excisus (bluestripe pipefish), 428 nucleotides. Lineage: Eukaryota; Metazoa; Chordata; Actinopteri; Syngnathiformes; Syngnathidae. The record is from RefSeq and is a predicted model, not a curated record.